This 106-nucleotide microRNA precursor is filed under the name Mus caroli (Ryukyu mouse). RNAcentral's name for it is "miRNA (MGP_CAROLIEiJ_G0008290.1)". Lineage: Eukaryota; Metazoa; Chordata; Mammalia; Rodentia; Muridae. The record is from RNAcentral.
UGUGUCUUGUUGGUGGAAGUGUGUCACUGGAGAUGGGCUUUGAGGUUUCAGAAGCUCAAGCCAGGCCAAGAGUCACUCUCUCUCUCUUCCUUAUGUCUGCUGAUCU